CUGAAGGGGGAAGAAGGGUUUCGUGUGAACAGUGGUUGAUCACGAGUUAGUCGGUCCUAAGUUCAAGGCGAAAGCCGAAAAAUAUUAAGUAAAUAUUAUUAUUUAUAAAAUAUUAAACUUAAUUUAUUGAACGAAAGGGAAUACGGUUCCAAUUCCGUAACCUGUUGAGUAUACGUUUGUUAUUAAAAAUGGGCUUUAACGCUCAUCCUGGUAACAGAAACAACCAUAAAGAAACCGUCGAGAGAUAUCGAAAGAGUUUUCUUUUCUGUUUUAUAGUCGUACCACCAUGGAAGUCUUUCGAAGAGAGAUAUGGUGGAUGGACUAGAAGAGCAUGGCAUUUACUGUUGUUCGAUAUUUUCUAGUCUUAAUUUGGGUCCCAAUGGGGAACUCCAUCGGCUUAAAAGUGUUCGACAAGCAUAU
This 420-nucleotide ribosomal RNA is filed under the name Chrysopilus sp. 1 DS-2018. RNAcentral describes it as "partial 28S ribosomal RNA". It matches the Rfam family "Eukaryotic large subunit ribosomal RNA", at positions 1491 to 1835 of the family's 3401-position model. The record is from RNAcentral. Lineage: Eukaryota; Metazoa; Arthropoda; Insecta; Diptera; Rhagionidae.